This 1091-nucleotide long non-coding RNA is filed under the name Sinocyclocheilus grahami. RNAcentral's name for it is "lncRNA (ENSSGRG00000045242.1)". The record is from RNAcentral. Lineage: Eukaryota; Metazoa; Chordata; Actinopteri; Cypriniformes; Cyprinidae.
GGAACUCCCAGACACCACCAACCUCAACUGGAAGGAGGCGGCCAUCCGGUGUCUGGAGAGCCUCCGAUCCCAAUCUGGAACCUCUCCGCCGGCCGUUCCACAGUCAAGCCCGCCAGCCGCGGCAUACUCAAGCCCGCCGGCCGCGCCGAAGUCAAGCCCGCCAGCGGUUCCUCAGUCAAGCCUGCCGGUCGUGGCUCACUCAAGCCCGCCAACCAUGCCUUUCACCCCGAACCUAAAGGGGAAUCUAAGGAGGAGAAGGCGGUCGACUCCAGCCCCAGAGCUCGCUCCAAUGUCGGCUCCAGCCCCCGAAUCCAGCCCAAAGAGAGCUCCUGUUCCCGAGUUUAGCCCACGGAGGGCUCCUGCUCCCGAGUUUAGCCCAUGGAGGGCUCCUGUCCCCGAGUUUAGCCCAGAGAGGGUUCCUGUCCCCGAGUCUAGCCCAGUGAGGGCUCCUGUCCCCGAGUCUAGCCCAGAGAGAGCUCCUGUCCCCGAGUUUAGCCCAGAGAGGGCUCCAGUCCCCGAGUUUAGCCAAGAGAAGGUUCCAGUCCCCGUGUCUAGCACAGAAAGGGCUCCAGUUCCCAUGUCCAGCCCAAGGAGGGCUCCAGUCCCCAAGUCAAGCCCAGGGAGGGCCACAGUUCCCAAGUUAAGCUUACAGUGGGCCGCUAAAGUCUAUAUUCUCCCCAUGGAUUUUUUUUUUGUGGGGGGUGGUAGGGGUCCAUCGAGUCCCCUGCUCCGCUAUGGCUGCCCGAGCUCCCUGUUCCGCCAUGGCCUCCUGAACUGUCUGCUCCGCCAUGGUUUCCCGAGCUCCCUGUUCCGCCAUGGCCUCCUGAACUGUCUGCUCCGCCAUGGCCCCCUGAACUGCCUGCUCCGCCAUGGCCUCCUGAACUGCCUGCUCCACCAUGGCUUCCUAGUCUGCCUACUCCGCCAUGGCUCCCAGAGCUCCCUGCUCCACCAUGGCCCCUGAGCUCCCUGUGCCGCCAUGGCACCCUGGACUGCCUGAUCCACCCUGGAGGUAUUCCCCGUGUCCCAGUCCUACACCAGCCUGCAUGGCGACCCCCCCCCCCAGGGGGGUUAAUUGUUACGGUGUGGGACAC